This 253-nucleotide ribosomal RNA is filed under the name uncultured bacterium. RNAcentral describes it as "partial 16S ribosomal RNA". It matches the Rfam family "Bacterial small subunit ribosomal RNA", at positions 524 to 776 of the family's 1533-position model. The record is from RNAcentral.
GACGAACCGUGCGAACGUUGUUCGGAAUCACUGGGCUUAAAGGGCGCGUAGGCGGGCCUUCAAGUCCGGGGUGAAAGCCUCCAGCCUAACUGGAGAAGAGCCUCGGAGACUGAGGGCCUCGAGGAGGGUAGGGGCAAGCGGAACUAUGGGUGGAGCGGUGAAAUGCAUUGAUAUCCAUAGGAACUCCGGUGGCGAAGGCGGCUUGCUGGACCAUUUCUGACGCUGAGGCGCGAAAGCCAGGGGAGCAAACGGG